CUAACUGUAAACGAUGAUUACUGGGUGUGGGGGAGCGAAACCUCUGUGCCGAAGCAAACGCGAUAAGUAAUCCGCCUGGGGAGUACGACCGCAAGGUUGAAACUCAAAGGAAUUGACGGGGACCCGCACAAGCGGUGGAGCAUGUGGUUUAAUUCGACGCAACGCGAGGAACCUUACCAGGUCGUGACAUCGUAGGAAUUUAUUAGAGAUAAUGAAGUGCCUCUAUGAGGAACCUAUAGACAGGUGG
Molecule: ribosomal RNA, 247 nt
Filed under: uncultured bacterium
Lineage: Bacteria
Description: partial 16S ribosomal RNA
Rfam family: Bacterial small subunit ribosomal RNA
Source: RNAcentral